GAAUUUAAUAUAAUUUUAUUAGAUGAGAAUUUAUUAGAAAAAAUAAUAAAUAUAUAUUUAAUUGGGAGGAUUGUUAAAUUUAAGUAACUUUAAUUAAAUUAAAAUAUAAAUUAAUAAAAUAAAAGAAUGGUUAAUAAAUUAAAAAAGAAUUAAUUACCUUAGGGAUAACAGCGUAAUACUUUUGGAGAGUUCAUAUUAAUAUAAGUGAUUGC
Molecule: ribosomal RNA, 212 nt
Filed under: Solenopsis sp. 24 GR-2021
Lineage: Eukaryota; Metazoa; Arthropoda; Insecta; Hymenoptera; Formicidae
Description: partial large subunit ribosomal RNA
Source: RNAcentral